UGAUGACGAGACGCUAAGGCGUUGAAGCAGUGUAUGUCAUACUUCCAAGAAAAGCUCGCAAUGUCAUAGAUAAAAAAUGCCUGUACCAUAACCGACACAGGUGGGUAGGUAGAGUAUACUAAGGGGCGCGAGAUAACUCUCUCUAAGGAACUCGGCAAAAUGACUCCGUAACUUCGGGAGAAGGAGUGCCUUAUUUAUAAGGUUGCAAUAACAAGAUCCAAGCAACUGUUUAUCAAAAACACAGGUCUCCGCUAAGUCGUAAGACGAUGUAUGGGGGCUGACGCCUGCCCAGUGCCAGAAGGUUAAAGAAGUUGGUUAGUGUAUGCGAAGCUGAUGACUGAAGCCCUGGUGAACGGCGGCCGUAACUAUAACGGUCCUAAGGUAGCGAAAUUCCUUGUCGGGUAAGUUCCGACCCGCACGAAAGGCGUAAUGAUUUGGAUACUGUCUCGGAGAGAGGCUCGGUGAAAUAGACUUGUCUGUGAAGAUGCGGACUACCUGCACCAGGACAGAAAGACCCUAUGAAGCUUUACUGUAACUUGAAAUUGGAAUUGGACUUUGCUUGCGCAGUAUAGGUGGGAAGCGUUGAAGAUAUUCUUGCGGGAGUAUUGGAGCUAUCAGUGAGAUACCACUCAUGUAAUGUUAGAUUUCUAACUUUGAACCAUAAUCUGGUCAAAGAACAGUUUCAGGUGGGCAGUUUGACUGGGGCGGUCGCCUCCCAAAUGGUAACGGAGGCGUACAAAGGUUUCCUCUGAACGGAUAGAAAUCGUAUCUAGAGUGUAAAGGCAUAAGGAAGCUUGACUGUGAGACCUACAAGUCGAGCAGGGACGAAAGUCGGUCUUAGUGAUCUGACGGUACUGAGUGGAAAGGCCGUCACUCAACGGAUAAAAGUUACUCUAGGAUAACAGGCUGAUCUCCCCCAAGAGUUCACAUCGACGGGGAGGUUUGGCACCUCGAUGUCGGCUCAUCGCAUCCUGGGGCGGUAGUACGUCCCAAGGGUUGGGCUGUUCGCCCAUGAAAGCGGUACGCGAGCUGGGUUCAGAACGUCGUGAGACAGUUCGGUCCAUAUCCGGUGUAGGCGCUAGAAUAUUGAGAGGAGCCUUCUUUAGUACGAGAGGACCGAGAAGGACACACCGCUGGUGUACCAGUUAUCGUGCCAACGGUAAACGCUGGGUAGCUAUGUGUGGAGUGGAUAACCGCUGAAAGCAUCUAAGUGGGAAGCCCACCUCAAGAUGAGUAUUC
Molecule: ribosomal RNA, 1239 nt
Filed under: metagenome
Description: bacterial LSU rRNA
Rfam family: Bacterial large subunit ribosomal RNA
Source: RNAcentral